Molecule: unclassified non-coding RNA, 501 nt
Filed under: Hevea brasiliensis (rubber tree)
Lineage: Eukaryota; Viridiplantae; Streptophyta; Magnoliopsida; Malpighiales; Euphorbiaceae
Source: RNAcentral
AUUUAUGCAUGCAAGUUAUACACAUAACGAUUAGUCACCUCACAUUCAGCCAAACUUGUAAACUAAGAUUGCAAGAAAAAGCUUAUCAUCUACAAUACACUAUCGAAUCUCCAUCACCUAAGCACAUUUUUACAUCACGGAAACUGAAAGCCUUAAUCUGCUUCAAAUUUAAAGCUUAUCUAAUAGCUGCAAUCACAGAUGGAGACCAACAGAAAAUGAGACUAUAUCACUCCAUCUACAUGCACACUAUUCUACCCCACCAAUUCUUGCAGAUUGCUCUAAUGGAACCUGGUAUCACCAUGAUCCUCAGAAUUACUGAGCAUAAUGAACAAAAUACACAUAACAAUCCUCAUUUUAGCCAUUUUAGAUCAAUCCAAUAUCCUCAACAUCCUCGCACAAGGGUUAUUUUCACAUUAGAACAAGUAGAAUGCCAGCAAGGACCCAAAUGAAAACAAGUAUAAAAAAAGGAAAUAGAAACCUGCAAUCGUGGCGAAGAUUACG